RNAcentral lists this ribosomal RNA (231 nucleotides) under uncultured Staphylococcus sp. RNAcentral's name for it is "partial 16S ribosomal RNA". It matches the Rfam family "Bacterial small subunit ribosomal RNA", at positions 109 to 334 of the family's 1533-position model. Lineage: Bacteria; Bacillati; Bacillota; Bacilli; Caryophanales; Staphylococcaceae. The record is from RNAcentral.
AGUAACACGUGGAUAACCUACCUAUAAGACUGGGAUAACUUCGGGAAACCGGAGCUAAUACCGUAUAACAUGUUGAACCGCAUGGUUCAACAGUGAAAGACGGUCUUGCUGUCACUUAUAGAUGGAUCCGCGCCGCAUUAGCUAGUUGGUAAGGUAACGGCUUACCAAGGCAACGAUGCGUAGCCGACCUGAGAGGGUGAUCGGCCACACUGGAACUGAGACACGGUCCAG